RNAcentral lists this ribosomal RNA (960 nucleotides) under uncultured eubacterium SRang1.25. RNAcentral's name for it is "SSU rRNA". It matches the Rfam family "Bacterial small subunit ribosomal RNA", at positions 524 to 1482 of the family's 1533-position model. The record is from RNAcentral.
UACGGAGGGUGCAAGCGUUACUCGGAAUCACUGGGCGUAAAGGACGCGUAGGCGGGUUGUCAAGUCAGGUGUGAAAUCCUACAGCUUAACUGUAGAACUGCAUUUGAAACUGGCAACCUAGAGUAUGGGAGGGGGAGAUGGAAUUAGUAGUGUAGGGGUAAAAUCCGUAGAUAUUAUUAGGAAUAUCAAAAGCGAAGGCGAUCUCCUGGAACAUUACUGACGCUAAGGCGUGAAAGCGUGGGGAGCAAACAGGAUUAGAUACCCUGGUAGUCCACGCCCUAAACGAUGUUCACUAGUCGUCGGGAUGCUUGUCAUCUCGGUGAUGCACUUAACAGAUUAAGUGAACCGCCUGGGGAGUACGGUCGCAAGAUUAAAACUCAAAGGAAUAGACGGGGACCCGCGCAAGUGGUGGAGCAUGUGGUUUAAUUCGAAGAUACGCGAAAAACCUUACCUGGCCUUGACAUUGAUAGAAUUCUAUAGAGAUAUGGAAGUGCCCUUCGGGGAGCUUGAAAACAGGUGCUGCACGGCUGUCGUCAGCUCGUGUCGUGAGAUGUUGGGUUAAGUCCCGCAACGAGCGCAACCCUCGUUCUUAGUUGCCAGCAGUUCGGCUGGGCACUCUAAGAAGACUGCCUUCGCAAGAAGGAGGAAGGUGAGGACGACGUCAAGUCAUCAUGGCCCUUAUGGCCAGGGCUACACACGUGCUACAAUGGGGCGUACAGAGAGUUGCGAUACCGCGAGGUGGAGCCAAUCUCAUAAAGCGUCUCUCAGUUCGGAUUGAAGUCUGCAACUCGACUUCAUGAAGCUGGAAUCACUAGUAAUCGUAGAUCAGCAUUGCUACGGUGAAUACGUUCCCGGGUCUUGUACUCACCGCCCGUCACACCAUGGGAGUUGAUUUCACCCGAAAUUGGGAAGCUAACCUUCGGGAGGCUACCACUUACGGUGGAAUUAGCGACUGGGGUG